UAAGGAAUAUUGCGCAAUGGGCGAAAGCCUGACGCAGCGACGCCGCGUGGGGGAUGAAGGUCUUCGGAUUGUAAACCCCUUUCGGGAGGGAAGAUGGARCGAGCAAUCGUUCGGACGGUACCUCCAGAAGCAGCCACGGCCAACUUCGUGCCAGCAGCCGCGGUAAUACGAAGGUGGCDAGCGUUGUUYGGAUUCASUGGGCGUACAGGGUGUGUAGGCGGUUUGGUAAGCCUUCUGUUAAAGCUUCGGGCCCAACCCGGAAAGCGCAGAGGGUACUGCCAGGYUAGAGGGUGGGAGAGGAGCGCGGAAUUCCCGGUGUAGCGGUGAAAUGCGUAGAGAUSGGGAGGAAGGCCGGUGGCGAAGGYGGCGCUCUGGAACAUACCUGACGCUGAGACACGAAAGCGUGGGGAGCAAACAGGAUUAGAUACCCUGGUAGUCCACGCCCUAAACUAUGGAUACUAAGUGUCGGCGGGUUACCGCCGGUGCCGCAGCUAACGCAUUAAKUUCCCGC
Molecule: ribosomal RNA, 511 nt
Filed under: uncultured bacterium
Lineage: Bacteria
Description: bacterial SSU rRNA
Rfam family: Bacterial small subunit ribosomal RNA
Source: RNAcentral